Non-coding RNA from Mycena latifolia, 95 nucleotides. Lineage: Eukaryota; Fungi; Basidiomycota; Agaricomycetes; Agaricales; Mycenaceae. The record is from the annotation of a GenBank genome assembly.
GGCCUGGUGGUGGAAUGGUAACACACUUGCUUUACAUAUAUGUGGCAAGUGAAUGUUUUCUGCAGGAGAUCCUUGUUCGACUCGAGGUCAGGCUA